This is a long non-coding RNA of Xiphophorus couchianus (Monterrey platyfish), 807 nucleotides long. RefSeq lists it as uncharacterized. The record is from RefSeq and is a predicted model, not a curated record. The transcript has 2 exons. NCBI's taxonomy places the organism in Eukaryota, Metazoa, Chordata, Actinopteri, Cyprinodontiformes, Poeciliidae.
GUUUGACAAGGCUGCAGCUGACCGCUGUUGUCAUUAUUCCUCCGCGAAGGCAGAGAUCAUCUGUGAAGAAAUCAUACAGCAGCCUGACAGCCAGAGGGGGAAAUCUGCUGCAGAAUUUAUCGCUGUUCUGCUUUGGAUGCUUCGAUUCCUCUUUCCAGAAGCCAGCAGAGAGAGCAAUCUGUGGUGAUAUGAUAUUUAAUGAUAUUAUCAGCUAAGGACAACUGGCAUUUUAACCAAUGCUAUAAAUUUGAUGCAAAUUUGUGUUACUCUUUCUCAGUUUUUAUUUAAAAAACAAAAAGAAAAACUAUUUGAACUGAUUUUAUUUUGCUUGAAGAGUUUUGAGUUAAUCUGCACCCUAAGGUGUCUACUCUUUGUUAGUUUAUUUGCUUUUUAUUAAAGUUAUUUCUUUCCUGCUUUCAAGGUUUAGGAUAAAUUCAUAGUUUUUAUAUUAGAGACGCAUUUACAAAAUUCAGUACUUGGAUACAUAUUUUAGUCAUUUUAAGGCAGUAAGUGUGUUCUUAUGAAUUAAGUUCCUUAAAGUAUUUCAUGCUUUUAAAUAAUAAUUGAUUAAAUAAAUGAUUGUCCUUGUUUAGAUAUUCAUAAUAAUCCAGGUUGUACAGCAGUCACAUGAGAAUGCCAAUAAACUUGACAUUCAUGAAAAAACGCGUUGUGUGGCAGAAAUAAUGCAAAUCACCCUGAACAAAUCUUCCAAAUUGUAAAACAUGGUGGUGGCAAUUUUAUUUUGUUGAUAUGCUUUUAUUAAAGUCGGUCAGAGUUGAAAAAACUAUUGGAAGCUGCAAAAAAAAA